RNAcentral lists this ribosomal RNA (274 nucleotides) under uncultured bacterium. RNAcentral describes it as "partial 16S ribosomal RNA". It matches the Rfam family "Bacterial small subunit ribosomal RNA", at positions 523 to 796 of the family's 1533-position model. The record is from RNAcentral.
AUACGAAGGGGGCAAGCGUUGUUCGGAAUAACUGGGCGUAAAGCGCACGUAGGCGGAAUGUUAAGUUAGAGGUGAAAUCCCAGGGCUCAACCCUGGAACGGCCUUUAAUACUGGCAAUCUAGAGACCGAGAGAGGUGAGUGGAAUUCCGAGUGUAGAGGUGAGAUUCGUAGAUAUUCGGAGGAACACCAGUGGCGAAGGCGGCUCACUGGCUCGGUACUGACGCUGAGGUGCGAAAGCGUGGGGAGCAAACAGGAUUAGAAACCCUAGUAGUCC